AUGGAAUCCUGAUGGUGUCCCGAUGACGUCCUGAUGGCGUCCUGUUGGUCUGCAGACAAGGAGAAGAGACGUGAGGAGGAUCAUCAGGAUGUGUCUGUGUGUACAUCUAAUUGUUAGUGUGUCUGUGUGUACAUCUAAUUGUUAGUGUGUCCGUGUGUACAUCUAAUUGUUAGUCUGUCUGUGUGUAGAUCUAAUUGUUAGUGUGUCUGUGUGUACAUCUAAUUGUUAUUGUGUCUUUGUGUACAUCUAAAUAUUAGUGUGUGUCUUUGUUUAGAACCAAAUGUUAGUGUGUCUAUCUAAUUGUUAGUGUGUCUGUGUGUACAUCUAAAUAUUAAUGUGUCUUUGUGUACAUCUAAAUGUUAGUGUGUGUCUUUGUUUAGAACCAAAUGUUAGUGUGUCUGUGUGUACAUCUAAUUUGUGUGUCUUUGUGUACAUCUAAAUAUUAGUGUGUGUCAUUGUUUAGAACCAAAUGAUAGUGUGUCUGUGUGUAGAUCUCAUUGUUAGUGUGUCUGUGUGUACAUCUAAUUGUUAUUGUGUCUUUGUGUACAUCUAAAUGUUAGUGUGUGUCUUUGUUUAGAACCAAAUGAUAGUGUGUCUGUGUGUACAUCUAAUUGUUAGUGUGUCUGUGUGUACAUCUAAAUAUUAAUGUGUCUUUGUGUACAUCUAAAUGUUAGUGUGUGUCAUUGUUUAGAACCAAAUGUUAGUGUGUCUGUGUGUACAUCUGUGUGUGUGUGUGUGUAUGUGUGUCAUGCGUAGAUCUGGAUUUGCUCCUGAGGGGUUGACGUGACGUCCUGAUGGCGUCCCGUUGACGUGGCGUCCUGAUGGUGUCCUGAUGGCGUCCCGUUGACGUGGCGUCCUGAUGGCGUCCAGUUGGUCUACAGACAAGGAGAAGAGACGUGAGGAGGAUCAUCAGGAUGUGAGACAAGAUUCAU
Long non-coding RNA from Gasterosteus aculeatus aculeatus (three-spined stickleback), 932 nucleotides. NCBI's taxonomy places the organism in Eukaryota, Metazoa, Chordata, Actinopteri, Perciformes, Gasterosteidae. The record is from Ensembl.